Molecule: ribosomal RNA, 279 nt
Filed under: uncultured Caulobacterales bacterium
Lineage: Bacteria; Pseudomonadati; Pseudomonadota; Alphaproteobacteria; Caulobacterales
Description: partial 16S ribosomal RNA
Rfam family: Bacterial small subunit ribosomal RNA
Source: RNAcentral
GUGCCAGCCGCCGCGGUAAUACGAGGGGGGCUAGCGUUGCUCGGAAUUACUGGGCGUAAAGGGAGCGUAGGCGGACAUUUAAGUCAGGGGUGAAAUCCCGGGGCUCAACCUCGGAAUUGCCUUUGAUACUGGGUGUCUUGAGUAUGAGAGAGGUGUGUGGAACUCCGAGUGUAGAGGUGAAAUUCGUAGAUAUUCGGAAGAACACCAGUGGCGAAGGCGACACACUGGCUCAUUACUGACGCUGAGGCUCGAAAGCGUGGGGAGCAAACAGGAUUAGAU